CACUGCGCCCGAAGACCUGCUUUGUUCACAUUCACCUCUCUGUCUCAAGAUCAACUGUGAGAACUGCAGGCAGAGCCAAAUUAUGGAUCUGGGACCAUGAUGGGCAGCAGGGGUCUGGUCAGUGACUCAGCUACAGAAAAUUAAAGGAAGUUUCUGAGGCAAUUACGUGCUUAACCUUUUUUUCCAAGUCAAAAAGCACUUUCUCCGAUUGCCUGAUAUGAACAUUCUACAUAUAGCAGUAUACCUUGCUAGCUUGCUAAUUUGUGGGGUGAGGAUUGUAGGGUUUCAAGCAAGGAAGUCACAAACCACAUCUGGAAUCUACAUGUUGAAGAAUGUCAGACGUGAUUCUCCUCAGAGUUCAAGGAUGCAUUUUUUUUGCUUUUAGUACACAGUUACAAAACUCAUUUUUCAUCAGCUUUAAAAGCAUUUAUGGUUUUCUAUCAAUAUGGACAAAAACCAACCGACUGAGCAAACAACGACAACAAAAAAAGCGCAAAUUCACAGCUACAGCAUGAAAAAUUCUGUUUGUCCCUCUUUGUUUUGAAGAAUGUCUGGAAAUGUACAUUGCAUUUUCUGUUUCAGAGUUCCACUGAUAGCUCCUUCAAGAUUCCUUAGACAACUACUUGUUGGUUUUUGUUUCUAUUCCUUUACCACAGCUCUAAAGCUAACAGUGUGUCUCAGAUGCAGUUUCUGAACGUUGUCUCAUACACGUGACUGUGAUAAAAGUUUUCUGGUCCACAUCAUCUUCUCGAGAGAUCUUAAAACAGUUGCAUGCAUGUUUCAUCAUAUGCAAGGCAUGGACAGAUGCUAAAUGAAGCAGCAGCAAGCUACCAGCUUUCAAACAUCAGCUAGCCAAAUCCAGCGUGACAGCCAUUCUGCUCCUCCUGAGCUCUCCUGCUUCGCUCCUUGCUCAGUCCUCUUCAGCACUGGUCCUGCUGUUCUGGGGAAAUGGUAUUCCUCCUCUAACAACUCAUGCAUAGAAGGCAUCCACAGUGUUUCCAGUUGUGGCAGAUUCCUUUAAAUCAGUUCAGGACAAAAAAUCUCUGUAAAAAAGCAUGUGUGGCAGUCUUUGGAUGACUGUUCAGUACCUAGUGACCAAAAGGUAAAGGUCCUAAGAGUCACUGGUUCAUGGGGGUCAUGGUUAGCAGUCUACAAACGCUGGUAGCACUGGAUAAUGGACAGGGAUUCGAUGCAUUGGAUCUCUACCCCAGUCAGCCUCUCUGCGACAAUGGACAAGGCAUUUCCUCCUCUUUCCCUCCAGUCACGGUCUGUCCUGUGAGUUCCCGAGGGAGGGAUUGUCUCUGAAGUGGAGGAGACACGGUGCCAGCAACAGUGGAGCCCUCAUUUGCCCAGGGUACAAGACAGAACUGUGACAAAGGACAUUAACCACCAAAAACCUGAAACGGGGCUCCAUGAAGCUGCACGUGCAUUUGGCCCUACUGACUCGUCCAUGAGCACAAAGGUCGACCUCCCUGGGGUCACUUCACAAACAGUCAUCACCCACAUAAAAACACAUCACCGAUCUAUGGUUUGCAAGCUAUUUUAUUUGCCAAGAACAAAUUGGCUUCAUAUUGUUCUGUAUAUAUAAAGCUUUUUACCUAAACCUGUAUCUGCAAAAUUUUAAGUUGUAGAAGCUGCCAGACAGGCGUUUUCAUUUUGACUUCUAUCUGCUGAGCAACAUUAAUAAACUGUAUUUCAGGAACCUGCA
RNAcentral lists this long non-coding RNA (1708 nucleotides) under Anser brachyrhynchus (Pink-footed goose). RNAcentral describes it as "lncRNA (ENSABRG00000003513.1)". Lineage: Eukaryota; Metazoa; Chordata; Aves; Anseriformes; Anatidae. The record is from RNAcentral.